AGACAGCAGUCGCCGCGGGAAUACGGAGGAUCCAAGCGUUAUCCGGAAUCAUUGGGUUUAAAGGGUCCGUAGGCGGUCUUGUAAGUCAGUGGUGAAAGCCCAUCGCUCAACGGUGGAACGGCCAUUGAUACUGCAGGACUUGAAUUAUUGGGAAGUAACUAGAAUAUGUAGUGUAGCGGUGAAAUGCUUAGAGAUUACAUGGAAUACCAAUUGCGAAGGCAGGUUACUACCAAUUGAUUGACGCUGAUGGACGAAAGCGUGGGUAGCGAACAGGAUUAGAUACCCCGUAGUCCCUGUCUCUUAUACA
This 307-nucleotide ribosomal RNA is filed under the name uncultured bacterium. RNAcentral describes it as "partial 16S ribosomal RNA". It matches the Rfam family "Bacterial small subunit ribosomal RNA", at positions 506 to 808 of the family's 1533-position model. The record is from RNAcentral.